RNAcentral lists this microRNA precursor (372 nucleotides) under Gossypium raimondii (Peruvian cotton). RNAcentral's name for it is "miR8635 stem-loop (gra-MIR8635)". Lineage: Eukaryota; Viridiplantae; Streptophyta; Magnoliopsida; Malvales; Malvaceae. The record is from miRBase by way of RNAcentral.
GAGUUCGGUCUCGGAUCUUCAAACGGUGGAGAAAUUUUGACCGGAGUGUCUAAGUUCAAUUUUAGUUCUAGGUUGUCUCUUGAUUCUGAGGAAAGCCCAACGGGUUUACAGAGUUUGGGGAGUACCUCAUGACUAAGGAAAUAUGAGCAUUCGGCCUUGCUGGAGUUUGAACCCAUGUUUUUUAUAUGGCAUUAGUGGGUAAGAACUCCACUAAAGGCAUGGGUUGGAAUCUUAUCAAGGCCAAAAUUUUUAACAUUUCUCCCCAAACUUUGUGAAUCUGUUAGGCUUGAGAGACAAAACUUGAGGCUAAAAUCAAAUAUAGAUGCCUCGAGCACAAUACUUCCACUGUUUGAGGGUCCAAGACUGACCUCC